Non-coding RNA from Myodes glareolus (Bank vole), 532 nucleotides. Lineage: Eukaryota; Metazoa; Chordata; Mammalia; Rodentia; Cricetidae. The record is from RefSeq and is a predicted model, not a curated record.
GCCUCUGACCUCUUGGCAUGCGGCCCGGACAGUUGGAACUCAACCGAACACUUCUAGUCCCAGCCUGCCAUAGGGCUCCAGAAGAAGCGCUGCACCCACAGGGCAGUCGGGCACUAUAAAGAUCUCUUUGUGAUGAGGGUGCCCAGCAUCAUGGAGAACUGAGCGGGACAGUGAGACCCACGUGCAGGUCUGGGGAUGUUUGCUUUGGGCUCCAAGGAGAAAACACAGAGCCUGGAGAUAAGGGGCCUCACUGAAGAGGGGCAAAGUAUGGUCUGAAGAAGAGUCCACCCGACUCUAGAACCUACACAGAGACCUGCAGAACAGCUGGCGAGGCCAGAGAAAGCCUGAGACCACCAUAUAGAGCUGCAGAGACUGCACACUGUGGAGAAUGCGCACCAACACCACCAUCUAGAGCUGCUCAACAGGAGUUGCUGUCGUCACGGUGUCUCUUCACAGCAAGAGAAGACUAACUAAGACACUCCUGCUUAUGGUCAUCCUGCACUUGUCAGGAUGCCCUCCCUUCAGGUACCUA